AUUGAGGCAGACAAAACCCUUGUGCUGUAGAGUUUUCUUGACUGUAUGGAUGAUUUUCCGCAUGGAUGGUUUGAAUUUUCUUGUUGAUUUUAGUAGCUUCAUGGGAAAUAAUAAGUGGGUUCGUUUGCCUCAGUGUUGGGUCUGCUAUUUGGUUUGACAUUGUAAAUUCCUCACCUAGUAGGGGGAAAUUUAACUGGGCAUGUUCUAGGGAUGAUGAGGUUUGCUGGUGUCCAUACCCUUUUCUUAGGUCUCCGAGUAUGGAUUCGAUUGCGUGUUGACAUGUUACCUGGUUUAGUUUGGGCGGAGACACACAAAACUAAAACACAAUCUAUUCAUCACUCGAUCGAAGGCGCUAUUAGCAGAGGACAGCGCUCAAAACCAAAAGAUUGAGGCAUGUUUUAGUCAGACAAGGACGAUGGUGACGGUCCUGUGACUGCGUUUUAAUGCCUAAAUGAACGCCAAUUUCUCAAAGUGCGGUGAUGCAACACGUGCUGCAUUACAUCUUUGAGUUAUGACUGCAUUUGUUACUCCAUGUCAAAUAGAGUCUUCAUCACAUAUGGCAGGAUGACAGUCUUUUACUGGUGCCUCAUGCAUCUAGCAUAUUUCAAGUGUAUAUGCUCUUGAAAAGCAUUGAGUGAUCCUACACAUUCAAACUCACAAUCUGUAGAAGCCUACCCUGAUCAAAGACAUUACUACACAAGCACAUCCUCCAUGGUUAUUGUUGAAUUAUAUACCUGGGCACAGCAAUCCAAACCAUAGUUAACCUCGGUGUCAACAUGUGAGCAUUCUUGGAGGAGGUCUAACUAUUGACCGCUAGUUAUGGCGUGAUGCUGUCACUUCAUUUAUUCUGCACAUGCCUUAUUCUUUUUGUCAUAGUUAAAAUGCAGAGUUCAAAUCAGGCAGAGAGUCCUCCAUCCAGAAGUCGUCCUAGUUAGUUCUUUGUAACAUGCUUCCAUGGUGAAAGGGUUUGAUUCUUCUCCUGAUGCUUAUGCUAUUAUCAAUCAGCUAUAAUGAGUACAGUGGUGUCAUUUUGGAUUUUGCAGUAAGCCCUCAUAUGUUACUGCAUGGUGGCGAUGCAGGAAUCUGAUGGUUGAAACGAUUUAGAAACUUUGGAAUGGUUUUGUUGCAUAAUUCGGGAAUUCCCUUUGGUUUAUGCUGAUUAAGAUUUUCUCUUUCCAAACUUACUAACAUAUUCUCCAUCUGAAGAAUUGUCUGGUUGUGACAAGCAAUCUUUUGAUCACAGUGCGGGGAAUUUGCUUUCUCAAGCUAAUGAAGAUGGUCAAAAGGACUUUAAGCGCAGAGUUGAGUAGACAUCCCAAGUGGUAUGAGACAGCUUGCAGGACAAACUAAGAAGCUGUAGUUGCUGCAUUCAAACACUCAAGAGACGGGGCUUUGAUUCAGCAGUUGUGAGGAGCAGGAGCACAUGCGACUCUUCAAAAGCAGAAGAACGGUGGUGAUUUCAAGAGGUGGUGCCGCAGGCGCUAGUUCACCUCAACUUGCUAUCACCGUAAGUGCAACGUGCUUCACCAUUUUGGCACAUCUGUAUGCAUAUCUUAGUAUCGACUUUAUUCUUUCGCACAGUCCUACAUCAGUGAUGAAGAUACGCAUGAGAUGCUUGACUUGCA
Long non-coding RNA from Rhodamnia argentea, 1625 nucleotides. RefSeq lists it as uncharacterized. The transcript is spliced from 2 exons. The record is from RefSeq and is a predicted model, not a curated record. NCBI's taxonomy places the organism in Eukaryota, Viridiplantae, Streptophyta, Magnoliopsida, Myrtales, Myrtaceae.